CAUAUAUAUAUGCGUGUGUAUGUGUGUGUAUACAUAUAUAUGUAUAUGUAUGCAUACACACACACACACACACACACACACACACACACACAC
Molecule: microRNA precursor, 93 nt
Filed under: Notamacropus eugenii (tammar wallaby)
Lineage: Eukaryota; Metazoa; Chordata; Mammalia; Diprotodontia; Macropodidae
Description: miRNA (ENSMEUG00000017680.1)
Source: RNAcentral